UACAGAGGUCUCAACCGUUGUUCGGAUUCAUUGGGCGUAAAGGGUGCGUAGGCGGUCGCGCAAGUCGGAUGUGAAAUCUUAGGGCUCAACCCUGAAACUGCAUUCGAUACUGCGUGGCUCGAGUACUGGAGAGGAGACUGGAAUUUACGGUGUAGCAGUGAAAUGCGUAGAUAUCGUAAGGAAGACCAGUGGCGAAGGCGAGUCUCUGGACAUUUCCUGACGCUGAGGCACGAAAGCCAGGGGAGCAAACGGG
This 253-nucleotide ribosomal RNA is filed under the name uncultured bacterium. RNAcentral describes it as "partial 16S ribosomal RNA". It matches the Rfam family "Bacterial small subunit ribosomal RNA", at positions 524 to 776 of the family's 1533-position model. The record is from RNAcentral.